CUGUCACCCAGGCUGGAGUGCAAUGGCAUGAUAUCUUCUUACUGCAACCUCUGCCUCCUGGGCUCAAACCAUCCUCCCACCUCAGCCUCCAGAAUAGCUGAAACUACAAGGCCCUGGACACAGGAUGAUCCCGGAUGGUGAGGCGGAGGGAAGGAACUGCUGGGGUCCCAGGAGAAGCCAGAGCCAGGCAGUGAGCUCCAGAUGGUGGGGGAGUGGCUGCCACCUUGACCAUCUUCCCCCGCAUGGCUGUUCUCCUCUGUGGACCACCCCAUGCCUCUGACCCCCAUCCUCCCUACCCCAUUCCCUACAGCCAGUCCCCACAACCACUCUUCCAGCAGCCCGGGGGGCCAUUCCCAUCUGUCCUCCCCUGUCCCAGUUCCAAUAAUGGACUACACCACCUUUAUCUUCCACUGCCCCAAAUGACGGCUGUCCGUCUAGUCAGUUCCACCCACUACACCACAGUCAUCGUGACCAUGUCACUCCUUUGCUCCGAACCAUGGCUCCCCCUCACCCUAAGGAGGAAAGCUCAGACUCCCUCUCCCCAGGGUGGCCUCUCCAGCCUCCUCCAUCUGUUCCCAGCAGGGUGGGCAUGGCUGUCACAUGUUCCUAGAACAUGCCAGGCCUUUGGCCUUGCUGUUCCCUCCGCUGGAACACCUACCACUGCACCAUCCACCUCCACCUGUCUUGUUCCUGCGACUCAGCAUGACUCUGCUGAAGCAUCCCCUGCCCUGGGAAGACUUCCUGGCUUUCCAGGCAGUACCAGCUCCUGUCUCCAGUUCCCAUGGCACUGGGACCUCCAUCACAUCUCCUCAGAUAGCUUGCCAAUGUCUGUCAGUCUGUCUGCCCUCUUGGCGGCACCAGGGACCUCCUCUGACUCUCCUCUGAGUCCCCAGGGAUCAGCCCAGUGCCUGGUAUGAAGUAGGCACUUGCACAUGCAUUUAAAAUGUUAGGGAGGAAAGAGUGGGAAAAGAGAAAGAGAUCCUUGUCUUUCCUCACAAGCUGAAGUCACCUCUUGCAAGCAUUGGGCCUGUGCCCUGGUUAUCCCUGGGAUGGAGCCGAGAACCCUCCAACUUUUGCUUCUUGCUAUGGGCUUUUUGUUUUGAGACAGAGUCUCACUCUGUUGCCCAGACUGGAGUGCAGUGGCAGGAUCAUGGCUCACUGUAGCCUCAACAAUGUCCGGCCUCUAAGCCCAAGCUAAGCCAUCAUAUCCCUUGUGACCUGCACGUAUACAUCCAGAUCACCUGAAGCAACUGAAGAUCCACAGAAGAAGUGAAAAUAGCCUUAACUGAUGACAUUCCACCAUUGUGAUUUGUUUCUGCCCCACCCUAACUGAUCAAUGUACUUUGUAAUCUGCCCCACCCUUAAGAAUGUUCUUUGUAAUUCUCCCCACCCUUGAGAAGGUACUUUGUGAGAUCCACUCCCUGCCUGCCAAACGUUGCUCCUAACUCCACCGCCUAUCCCAAAACCUGUAAGAACUAAUGAUUAAUCCACCACCCUUUCUUUGCUGACUCUCUUUUCGGACUCAGCCCACUUGCACCCAGGUGAAAUAAACAGC
This 1555-nucleotide long non-coding RNA is filed under the name Homo sapiens (human). RNAcentral describes it as "non-protein coding lnc-PDP2-3:2". Lineage: Eukaryota; Metazoa; Chordata; Mammalia; Primates; Hominidae. The record is from RNAcentral.